GAACACAAGGACACAGACACGUGCAGGAAGGAGGCAGCUGUGCACGAGCCCAGGAAAGAGGCCUCAAAGGAAGCAACCCUGCCCACACCUUGAUGUCAGACUGGCCUCUGGGGCUGGGAGAGAACGCGUUUCUGCAGUUGGAGCCAUGCGGGACUUUGUCACGCUCUGUCGUGACCACUGAGCUGGCUGAAACAGGUUUCAUGAAAGGACGGGAAGACCAUGCCUAGAACCCGGGGACUGCGCCUUGGGUGACAAUAGCAGUCAGUGGGUAAUGGUGCCCCACAGAGACACACGGACCGGGCCCCCCAGGCACUGAGGCACCCACGUGGGGCGAGAGGAACAGGCCUCCCCCCGUCCUGAGCCCCCCAUCCUGAGCCCAACGUAGCCCCGGAGGGCAGCAGAGGAAGGGAGAUCAGAGCCACCACACCCGCACUCCUGCUCACAGGGCCCCCUCCCCGGCUGGCUGCGACCCCGGGCUGAAGGUCUCUGCUCCUCGCCAGGUGGCCUCUCCACACCUUUCUGUCUCUGGACCGCCCACAGGACCCCAGGAGGUGCCCCCCACCUUGCAACGUCAUGGACACGUUGUCAAAGUCGUGGUGGUCUGGCUCGUUCCACGUCUCGAAGUUCCACUUGGAAA
Long non-coding RNA from Leopardus geoffroyi (Geoffroy's cat), 637 nucleotides. RefSeq lists it as uncharacterized. The transcript is spliced from 3 exons. The record is from RefSeq and is a predicted model, not a curated record. Lineage: Eukaryota; Metazoa; Chordata; Mammalia; Carnivora; Felidae.